Molecule: unclassified non-coding RNA, 322 nt
Filed under: Hevea brasiliensis (rubber tree)
Lineage: Eukaryota; Viridiplantae; Streptophyta; Magnoliopsida; Malpighiales; Euphorbiaceae
Source: RNAcentral
AAGUGCAAAAAGCGCAGGAAAUAUCUUUUUCUUGGCAAGGUCCCCAGAGGCUCCAACCACAGUGAUACUGACAGUUGAUUCAUUUUUAUUCAUAUCAAAACCAGCUGUUUCUUUUAACUCCUUAGCAGAUGUAAGACAACAACCCAUCUUUCACUUUCUUGAAUGAGGUCUCAUUUUCUAAUGGGUUUACUGGAAUGGCCACUGCACCAUCUUGCAUGAGAACCACAUCUGGGUAGGAAUUCUUUCGAGAUUGUGAGAACACCUUAGCUGGUAACAACCUCUUAGGAAUCCCAGAAGAAGAGAAGUUUAUUCGUUGAAAUUG